This 245-nucleotide long non-coding RNA is filed under the name Hordeum vulgare. RNAcentral describes it as "long non-coding RNA (HVUL_LNC006016)". Lineage: Eukaryota; Viridiplantae; Streptophyta; Magnoliopsida; Poales; Poaceae. The record is from RNAcentral.
AUGUAGAUGUUGACAGUUGAAUUAUUCGAUGGUUGCAAAUCGACAGCUAGAUAGUCAGUGGGUGCUACCGCAACGUACGUACCUCGAGCUUUCUCGCUCCCAUGACUCCCAUCAUCAUGUACUACCUCCAUCCAAGUGUAUAACGCAUGCGCGUAGUUCUAUGUCGUCAAUUUAACUAUUUAAAUAUAUAUUAUAUGUAACAAAUAAUAUAUCAUUAAAUUCAUGCGAGGAUGUAGUUUCUGAAU